GACGAAUGCUGGCUGCGUGCUUAACACAUGCAAGUCGAACGGUGAAGGAGGGCUUGCCCUCCGGAUCAGUGGCGAACGGGUGAGUAACACGUGGGCAACCUGCCCCUCACUCUGGGAUAACGCCGGGAAACCGGCGCUAAUACCGGAUACGACCAGAAGCGACAUCUCUUCUGGUGGAAAGAACUUCGGUGAGGGAUGGGCCCGCGGCCUAUCAGCUAAUUGAUGAGGUAACAGCCCACCAAGACGACAACGGGUAGCCGGCCUAAGAGGGCGACCGGCCACACUGGGACUGAGACACGGCCCAGACUCCUACGGGAGGCAGCAGUGGGGAAUAUUGCGCAAUGGGCGAAAGCCUGACGCAGCGACGCAGCGUGAGGGACGAAGGCCUUCGGGUUGUAAACCUCUUUCAGCGGGGACGAAGCGAAAGUGACGGUACCCGCAGAAGAAGCACCGGCUAACUACGUG
Molecule: ribosomal RNA, 465 nt
Filed under: uncultured bacterium
Lineage: Bacteria
Description: bacterial SSU rRNA
Rfam family: Bacterial small subunit ribosomal RNA
Source: RNAcentral